RNAcentral lists this ribosomal RNA (596 nucleotides) under uncultured bacterium. Its description in RNAcentral is "bacterial SSU rRNA". It matches the Rfam family "Bacterial small subunit ribosomal RNA", at positions 112 to 704 of the family's 1533-position model. The record is from RNAcentral.
AAUGCCUAGGAAUCUGCCUGGUAGUGGGGGAAAACGUUCGGAAACGGACGCUAAUACCGCAUACGUCCUACGGGAGAAAGCAGGGGACCUUCGGGCCUUGCGCUAUCAGAUGAGCCUAGGUCGGAUUAGCUAGUUGGUGAGGUAAUGGCUCACCAAGGCGACGAUCCGUAACUGGUCUGAGAGGAUGAUCAGUCACACUGGAACUGAAACACGGUCCAGACUCCUACGGGAGGCAGCAGUGGGGAAUAUUGGACAAUGGGCGAAAGCCUGAUCCAGCCAUGCCGCGUGUGUGAAGAAGGUCUUCGGAUUGUAAAGCACUUUAAGUUGGGAGGAGGGGUUGUAGAUUAAUACUCUGCAAUUUUGACGUUACCGACAGAAUAAGCACCGGCUAACUCUGUGCCAGCAGCCGCGGUAAUACAGAGGGUGCAAGCGUUAAUCGGAAUUACUGGGCGUAAAGCGCGCGUAGGUGGUUUGUUAAGUUGGAUGUGAAAUCCCCGGGCUCAACCUGGGAACUGCAUUCAAAACUGACUGACUAGAGUAUGGUAGAGGGUGGUGGAAUUUCCUGUGUAGCGGUGAAAUGCGUAGAUAUAGGAAGG